ACACACUCCCUACACACACACACACAUUCCUGCCAUUAUCACUCCACACACUCCCACAUACUCCCACAUACUCCCACAUACUCCACACACUCCACACACAUACUCCACACAACCCAUACACUACCACACUCCACACACACACUACUCACAUUCCACACAAUCCACUCACUACCCAUACUCCUCACACUCCAACAUACUCCAGACACUCCCCACACAGACUCCACACAAUCCAUACACUCCACACACUCCACACACACACUCCUCACAUUCCCACAUACUCCACACACUACCCACACUCCACACACACACUCCUCACACUCCCACAUACUCCACACAAUAUCCACACACACACUCCUCACACUCCCACAGACUCCACACAAUCCAUACACUCCACACACUCCACACACACACUCCUCACAUUCCCACAUACUCCACACACUACCCACACUCCACACACACAGUCCUCACACUCCCACAUACUCCACACAAUAUCCACACACACACACUCCUCACACUCCCACAUACUCCCCACACUCCCACAGACUCCACACAAUCCAUACACUCCACACACACACUCCUCACACUCCCACAUACUCCACACACUCCCCACACAGACUCCACACAAUCCAUACACUCCACACACACACACUCCUCACUUUCCCACAUACUCCUCACACUCCCACAGACUCCACACAAUCCAUACACUCCACACACUCCACACACACACACUCCUCACUUUCCCACAUACUCCCCACACUCCCACAUACUCCACACACACAAUCCACACACUACCCACACUCCACACACACACACUUCUCACAUUCCCACAUACUCCACACACUCCUCACACUCCACACACUCCUCACACUCCACACACACGCUCCUCAUACUCCCACAUACUCCACACACUCCCGCACAGCUACUGAAUGUGAUGUUCUGAUAGUUUUGGAGAUACAAGCAUUUCCUGAUCAGUCCAGCCCCUCUUUCCCUGCAGCUUCAGUCUGAUUACAGCCUCUGAUAUUACUGACCAAUUUCACAAACUCUGACUCUAAAUAAUCGCCCUGUUUACAGUCCUGAGUUCACUGUGUUUAUACUGUAUACAGUGUAUUCAGUGUCCUGUAAUUAC
RNAcentral lists this long non-coding RNA (1126 nucleotides) under Astyanax mexicanus (Mexican tetra). Its description in RNAcentral is "lncRNA (ENSAMXG00005010026.1)". Lineage: Eukaryota; Metazoa; Chordata; Actinopteri; Characiformes; Acestrorhamphidae. The record is from RNAcentral.